UACGUAGGGUGCGAGCGUUGUCCGGAAUUAUUGGGCGUAAAGGGCUCGUAGGCGGUUUGUCGCGUCGGGAGUGAAAACCAGGUGCUUAACACCUGGCUUGCUUUCGAUACGGGCAGACUAGAGUGCUGUAGGGGAGACUGGAAUUCCUGGUGUAGCGGUGAAAUGCGCAGAUAUCAGGAGGAACACCGGUGGCGAAGGCGGGUCUCUGGGCAGCAACUGACGCUGGAGGAGCGAAAGCGUGGGGAGCGAACAGG
This 254-nucleotide ribosomal RNA is filed under the name uncultured bacterium. RNAcentral's name for it is "partial 16S ribosomal RNA". It matches the Rfam family "Bacterial small subunit ribosomal RNA", at positions 524 to 776 of the family's 1533-position model. The record is from RNAcentral.